UGGGGAAUAUUGCACAAUGGGCGAAAGCCUGAUGCAGCAACGCCGCGUGCGGGAUGACGGCCUUCGGGUUGUAAACCGCUUUCAGCAGGGACGAAGGUUUUCUGACGGUACCUGCAGAAGAAGCACCGGCUAACUACGUGCCAGCAGCCGCGGUGAUACGUAGGGUGCGAGCGUUGUCCGGAAUUAUUGGGCGUAAAGAGCUUGUAGGCGGUCCGUUGCGUCGGAAGUGAAAACUCAGGGCUUAACCCUGAGCCUGCUUUCGAUACGGGCGGACUUGAGGGAUGUAGGGGAGAACGGAAUUCCUGGUGGAGCGGUGGAAUGCGCAGAUAUCAGGAGGAACACCAGUGGCGAAGGCGGUUCUCUGGACAUUUCCUGACGCUGAGAAGCGAAAGUGUGGGGAGCAAACAGGCUUAGAUACCCUGGUAGUCCACGCCGUAAACGGUGGGCACUAGGUGUGGGACCCAUUCCACGGGUUCCGUGCCGUAGCUAACGCAUUAAGUGCCCCGCCUGGGGAGUACGGCCGCAAGGCUAAAACUCAAAGGAAUUGACGGGGUCAU
RNAcentral lists this ribosomal RNA (557 nucleotides) under uncultured bacterium. RNAcentral describes it as "partial 16S ribosomal RNA". It matches the Rfam family "Bacterial small subunit ribosomal RNA", at positions 355 to 922 of the family's 1533-position model. The record is from RNAcentral.